AAAGAGAGCCAGAACACAGGUGCUGCAUGGCCGUCGUCAGCUCGUGUCGUGAGAUGUUGGGUUAAGUCCCGCAACGAGCGCAACCCUUGUCAUUAGUUGCUACGAAAGGGCACUCUAAUGAGACUGCCGGUGACAAACCGGAGGAAGGUGGGGAUGACGUCAGGUCAUCAUGGCCCUUAUGGGUAGGGCUACACACGUCAUACAAUGGCCGGGACAGAGGGCUGCCAACCCGCGAGGGGG
RNAcentral lists this ribosomal RNA (240 nucleotides) under Klebsiella variicola. RNAcentral's name for it is "partial 16S ribosomal RNA". It matches the Rfam family "Bacterial small subunit ribosomal RNA", at positions 1019 to 1265 of the family's 1533-position model. Lineage: Bacteria; Pseudomonadati; Pseudomonadota; Gammaproteobacteria; Enterobacterales; Enterobacteriaceae. The record is from RNAcentral.